This 1326-nucleotide long non-coding RNA is filed under the name Scleropages formosus (Asian bonytongue). RNAcentral describes it as "lncRNA (ENSSFOG00015031624.1)". Lineage: Eukaryota; Metazoa; Chordata; Actinopteri; Osteoglossiformes; Osteoglossidae. The record is from RNAcentral.
CCCUCUCCUUGCCUGUAUCUCUUUGCGUCUCCAUCUGCCUCGCUGACAGUGCUCUCCCUGUCUCUGUUGGGCAGCCUCAUUCUCUCCUCCAGGAUGUCGGGCCCUCUGACCAAUGCGGUCUUCUUCCUGCUCCAGCUGGCGCUACUGCUCUCCCCAGCGCAGCGUCUGCAAGCCAAGCCACUGUCCAGCGUUCACGGAGGACGGAAUGCGGACGGCUCUGCUGGGGCCUUGCGCCUCCGCAGGGAGCUCCGUGAUCCGCUGCCUUAUGAGGCCCAGAUGAUGUCAUACCCGCCGGUGGAAGGGCAGGCCAAUGAGCUCCUCUACCAACCGGAAGGCUGGAGGGGGCAGGGUUUAGGACAGGCCCUGCAGCGUCUGGUUGAGGACGACCGCAGGCGAGAUCAGGAAGCGGCCUAUUUGGCAGGCUUGCUCCGCCUCCUCAGUGAAGCCGAAAGUAAUUCCCAGAGGGCUGCAAAAGGAGACGAAGAGGAGGAGGAGGAGGAGGAGGAAGGAGGUGACCUCCAGGGGCCCUACCCUCCCGAUUACGAUGAGACGGAGCAGGGCGUCAGGAUGACCAAGCCUCAGGCUGCCUGGCAGGGCCUGCUGGACCCCCAGCUCGCCCAGGCCCUGCUGAGGCGCUACAGGCAGGAGAGGCUGCUGCAGGCCAGGCUCAACCCCGGUGGCAACAGGCUGCAGGAGAGCCGCGGAGACGCAGCGGCAGAGGAGAAGGAGGAGGAGCUUCUCAGAUACCUUGUUGGGCGCGUACUGUCCAGCCUCGCAUCUGACUCCCCCCAGAACCCGCCCGCCCGCCUGGCCAAGCGGGACCUGGGGGCAGUUAGCGGGGGGGCCACGGGGGCGGUGCCGCUGAAAAGGUCCCGCCGCUCGGUAGAUUCUGUGCCGCUUCAGCCGCCCAACUCUGAACCUUCGCUGCUUAGAGUGAAGAGGCUGGAUGAAGAGGAGGACAAGGUGGCAGGGGGGGCGGCUGGGGGGGUCCUCCGGGCCGCUCACACGGGGCUGCAGAGGAUGAAGCGCAUCGACAGCGACCUGCCGCAGGUGAAGCACGGCCGCAGCAGACGGGCUUUGACCUACGACCCCAACGUGCUGGCCCAGCGCAUCCUACAGUACCUGCCGGAGUAGAGACGGCAAGACGGAAAUAUGCGGCUUACCUAAAUUCCACACGCAUACACAUAGUACAUUGGCGUACACGCAAGGUAUCAGCUUACAAGGAGACAGUCAAAGCUGUCUGCUCCUGGAAAAGUUGCCUCUGUAUUCGUUUUCGUGUCCCCCCCCCCCCCCCCCCUCCGGAAUAAAUGUAUCUCACAAUCUCCA